GCAAACUUGGUCAUUUAGAGGAAGUAAAAGUCGUAACAAGGUUUCCGUAGGUGAACCUGCGGAAGGAUCAUUAUUGAAUGUCCUUGAUGGGUUGUUGCUGGCUCGUCCGAGCAUGUGCACGCCUGUCUUGACUAUCCAUUCAUCCACCUGUGCACCAUUUGUAGUUGCUUCUUUGGGUGGGCUGAGCAAGUGACUGUCAGUUAACAGACUUGGUUUUGAGGUUUGCUUGUUGCAGUAGCAUGGGCUCUCCUCUCUGUCACAUAAUGUCCCUCAAGAAGGGCUAUGCCUUUUAAUCAUACACUACUAGUAUGUUAUUGGAAUGUACUCAAUGGGCCUUUGUGCCUAUACAAUUUUAUACAACUUUCAGCAACGGAUCUCUUGGCUCUCGCAUCGAUGAAGAACGCAGC
This 407-nucleotide unclassified non-coding RNA is filed under the name uncultured fungus. RNAcentral describes it as "partial contains small subunit ribosomal RNA, internal transcribed spacer 1, and 5.8S ribosomal RNA". The stretch from base 1 to 73 matches the Rfam family "Eukaryotic small subunit ribosomal RNA", at positions 1759 to 1831 of the family's 1831-position model. The record is from RNAcentral. Lineage: Eukaryota; Fungi.